UACGUAGGGUGCGAGCGUUGUCCGGAAUUAUUGGGCGUAAAGGGCUCGUAGGCGGUUUGUCGCGUCGGGAGUGAAAUCCACUGGCUUAACUGGUGGCUUGCUUUCGAUACGGGCAGACUGGAGGUAUGCAGGGGAGAACGGAAUUCCUGGUGUAGCGGUGAAAUGCGCAGAUAUCAGGAGGAACACCGGUGGCGAAGGCGGCAUCCUGGACCAAUUCUGACGCUGAGGAGCGAAAGCCAGGGGAGCAAACGGG
RNAcentral lists this ribosomal RNA (253 nucleotides) under uncultured bacterium. RNAcentral's name for it is "partial 16S ribosomal RNA". It matches the Rfam family "Bacterial small subunit ribosomal RNA", at positions 524 to 776 of the family's 1533-position model. The record is from RNAcentral.